This 492-nucleotide ribosomal RNA is filed under the name uncultured Arcobacter sp. RNAcentral describes it as "bacterial SSU rRNA". It matches the Rfam family "Bacterial small subunit ribosomal RNA", at positions 903 to 1382 of the family's 1533-position model. Lineage: Bacteria; Pseudomonadati; Campylobacterota; Epsilonproteobacteria; Campylobacterales; Arcobacteraceae. The record is from RNAcentral.
UCAGAAACUACAAAGGAAUUGACGGGGACCCGCACAAGCGGUGGAGCAUGUGGUUUAAUUCGACGAUACGCGAAGAACCUUACCUGGCCUUGACAUACUAAAAAGCUUUAAGAGAUUAGAGUGUGCUAGCUUGCUAGAAUUUAGAUACAGGUGCUGCACGGCUGUCGUCAGCCCGUGUCGUGAGAUGUUGGGUUAAGUCCCGCAACGAGCGCAACCUCGUGUUUAGUUGCUAACAGUUCGGCUGAGAACUCUAAACAGACUGCCUACGCAAGUAGGAGGAAGGUGAGGACGACGUCAAGUCAUCAUGGCCCUUACGGCCAGGGCUACACACGUGCUACAAUGGGGUAUACAAAGAGCAGCGAUACGGUGACGUGGAGCAAAUCUAGAAAAUGCCUCUCAGUUCGGAUUGUAGUCUGCAACUCGACUACAUGAAGUUGGAAUCGCUAGUAAUCGUAGAUCAGCAAUGCUACGGUGAAUACGUUCCCGGGUCUU